GCAUCUUGGGGGUCGUUCUGGUUGGUAUGUUUCCGGUGGAUGGCUCUCUGCUCGCGCAACAACUUCCACCUGGCAUACCUCUUCAGUUAUGCGUCAAGGUUGUCUUACCUUGUGCGCAUUGUGGGUUUCCUGUGUUGCAUACCUAUGUGAUGGUACCGUUUGGAUCCAUCAAAGUCGCUUUUCGUCUUGCGUCAAUAUUGGCGUUGGAUGAACAUAGAAGCAAUCUCUAUGAUCCACUUUCUUGAUGCAUUUGCAUCGAUGUUGUGGCUUAUUGAGUGUUGCUUGGUCUUGUGAAUAUGGAACCUGAUGUGGGCACCGGGGUCUCACAUGAUCCUUGUUUUGCCUAAGUUGAGCGUUCUUGUUUCUCUGAGACGACUUCCUAGCCCGAAUUGGCUCGUACCACCGGGUGGGAUAUGUUGUUGAAGAGAGAUGCGAGCGUUCUUGCUUUUCUAGAACGACCGCCUAUCUCGCAUUGGCUCGUACCAGCGAGUGGGUUACGUCGAACAUGAAUGCUACCUGGUUGAUCCUGCCAGUAGUCAUAUGCUUGUCUCAA
This 553-nucleotide unclassified non-coding RNA is filed under the name Calostephane marlothiana. RNAcentral's name for it is "contains 3 external transcribed spacer, ETS". Lineage: Eukaryota; Viridiplantae; Streptophyta; Magnoliopsida; Asterales; Asteraceae. The record is from RNAcentral.